This 1454-nucleotide unclassified non-coding RNA is filed under the name Daphnia pulicaria. Its description in RNAcentral is "calumenin-B-like, transcript variant X1". The record is from RNAcentral. Lineage: Eukaryota; Metazoa; Arthropoda; Branchiopoda; Diplostraca; Daphniidae.
GUCUGCUACACGUAAUAUAAGAAGGGUCGCUGUCGUUCCAAGCGUUCUAAGAGAGAUUUCGGUGAUAUCUACCAUCUUUUCUGGAUUGUUCCAGGCGUUAACUCGUUUGGCAUAAAGCAGAUCGUUUGUAAAAUGCGAUUUUCUUAUGUUGUUGUGUGCUUGACAAUAAGUCUUGUAACAGCUAUUCCAAAACCAAACAAGACUUCAAGAGUUAAAGAUGAGCCGCUGAGUAGUCACAAACAUUAUGAAAAUGAAGAGCAUAAUGCUGACUAUGACCAUGAAGCUUUUCUAGGAGAUGAGGCUAAAACCUUUGAUCAACUGUCUCCCGAAGAAAGCAAGGAGCGUUUAGGGAAAAUUGUGGACAAAAUAGACCGUGACAUGGAUGGCAAGAUCACCAAAGAGGAGCUGAAAUCAUGGAUUCAGUAUACUCAAAGACGUUACAUAUUGGAGGAUGUUGACCGUCAGUGGAAAGCACACAAUCCUAAUAACAAGGACUCUAUCACAUGGGAAGAAUACAAAAAGAUGGUCUAUGGUUUCAUGGAUGAUAUGGAACCCUCAGAGCUGGAGAAUAAUGCUGAAGAAGGAUUUUCAUACAAGGACAUGAUUCGACGAGACCAACGUCGCUGGGGAAUUGCUGAUACUAACGCAGAUCACGCCCUUGACAAGGAAGAGUUCACAAACUUUUUACAUCCAGAAGAUGCCCCGCAUAUGAAGGAGAUUGUUGUUGUCGAAACGAUGGAGGACAUCGACAAGGAUAAAAACGGGUACAUCUCAUUGGAAGAAUACAUCGGUGACAUGUACCGAGGAAUCAAAGAUGAAGAUGAGCCUGAUUGGGUCAGGAACGAACGUGAGCAGUUUCAAAAUUAUCGCGACAAAAACAAAGACGGCCAUAUGGACACUGAUGAGGUUAAACAGUGGAUAAUCCCACCUGAUUUUGAUCACUCUGAAGCCGAAGCGAAACAUCUACUUCAAGAAUCGGACGCUGACGGCGACGGUCAGCUGACAAAAGACGAGAUCAUUAGCAAAUACGAUCUCUUCGUCGGUUCUCAGGCCACCGAUUUCGGUGAGGCGCUCAACCGACACGACGAAUUUUAGACAACACAAAAUCAAAUUCCUCAUGUUAUAGCAAUGUGAAAUGAACAUUCGCCUACGUCUGUGACCAAAGGCAGCAAUUUCGCUGAUUAUGCUAAUCAGUGUCAAAGUGUGCCAAAUUCUUAUCGCGCACCACAAAAAGUGCCUCAUUUUACUUGAUUACUAAACGUCGACGUAACUCGUGCAUAUUAUCUUCCUACUUCAUAAUAUUUCAUGUGUCUUUAUUUUCAUUUCAUAAUGAAUUUUCGAUUCGUUUACUUAAAAUCUCAGCUUCAAAAUUUAGAAUGUGACGUGAAAAAGUGCCGAUAAGUUUGUAAUGUUGUCAUCAGUAGUCAAUAAAAGGCCACUGGGUAUUCACCUUU